Molecule: ribosomal RNA, 406 nt
Filed under: uncultured bacterium
Lineage: Bacteria
Description: partial 16S ribosomal RNA
Rfam family: Bacterial small subunit ribosomal RNA
Source: RNAcentral
AUUGAACGCUGGCGGCAGGCCUAACACAUGCAAGUCGAACGAGUGGCGGACUGGUGAUUAAUUUCUGGGCAACUGCCCGAUGGAGGGGUAUACCUAGUGGAAACGGUAGCUAAUACCGCAUACCAUCGGAUGUGCCCAGAUGGGAUUAGCUAGUAGGUGGGGUAAAGGCUCACCUAGGCGACGAUCCCUAGCUGGUCUGAGAGGAUGACCAGCCACACUGGAACGGAGACACGGUCCAGACUCCGACGGGAGGCAGCAGUGGGGAAUAUUGCACAAUGGGCGCAAGCCUGACGCAGCCAUGCCGCGUGUAUGAAGAAGGCCUUCGGGUUGUAAAGUACUUUCAGCGGGGAGGCGUUACCCGCAGAAGAAGCACCGGCUAACUCCGUGCCAGCAGCCGCGGUAAUUC